AUUGAACGCUGGGGCAUGCUUUACACAUGCAAGUCGAGCGGCAGCGCGGGGGCAACCCUGGCGGCGAGCGGCGAACGGGUGAGUAAUGCAUCGGAACGUACCCUGGAGUGGGGGAUAACGCCGCGAAAGCGGCGCUAAUACCGCAUAUGCUCUGAGGAGGAAAGUGGGGGACCGCAAGGCCUCACGCUCUGGGAGCGGCCGAUGUCCGAUUAGCUAGUUGGUGGGGUAAAGGCUUACCAAGGCGACGAUCGGUAGCUGGUCUGAGAGGAUGAUCAGCCACACUGGGACUGAGACACGGCCCAGACUCCUACGGGAGGCAGCAGUGGGGAAUUUUGGACAAAUGGGGGCAACCCUGAUCCAGCCAUGCCGCGUGAGUGAAGAAGGCCUUCGGG
This 392-nucleotide ribosomal RNA is filed under the name uncultured bacterium. RNAcentral's name for it is "bacterial SSU rRNA". It matches the Rfam family "Bacterial small subunit ribosomal RNA", at positions 28 to 422 of the family's 1533-position model. The record is from RNAcentral.